Molecule: ribosomal RNA, 774 nt
Filed under: uncultured Neocallimastigales
Lineage: Eukaryota; Fungi; Neocallimastigomycota; Neocallimastigomycetes; Neocallimastigales
Description: partial large subunit ribosomal RNA
Rfam family: Eukaryotic large subunit ribosomal RNA
Source: RNAcentral
AGAGAGAGACAUGCGCGCAUAUCAAUAAGCGGAGGAAAAGAAACUAACAAGGAUUCCCUUAGUAACGGCGAGUGAAGCGGGAAGAGCUCAAAUUUGAAAUCUUCAAGGUUCUACCUUGACGAAUUGUAGUUUAUAGAAGUGUUUUCUGUUAGUGGAGUGGCAAAAGUUCUUUGGAAUAGGACAUCAUAGAGGGUGAGAAUCCCGUAUUUGGUCAUUCCUCCUAGCGUUGUGACACACUUUCAACGAGUCGGAUUGUUUGGGAAUGCAGUCCAAAAUGGGUGGUAAAUUUCAUCUAAAGCUAAAUAUUGGCGAGAGACCGAUAGCGAACAAGUACCGUGAGGGAAAGAUGAAAAGAACUUUGAAAAGAGAGUUAAACAGUACGUGAAAUUGUCAAAAGGGAAGCGUUUGACACCAGUGUUGUUUUUCCGAAAAUCAAUUACGAAUGUUCUGUUUUUGAGGAGUUAUGACUUCAUCGGCUUGCUCCUUUCUUUACGAAACUUUCUUAAUGCACUUUUCGGUUAACAAGUCAACAUCAAUUUCUUUUGUUGUAAAAGGGUAUGAGGAAGGUGGCUUUCUUUUCGGAGAAAGUGUUUAUAGCCUUGUGCCUCUGCAAUCGGAGAGAUUGAGGUCUGCAGCGUAGAUCCUUCGGGGUUAGAUACGUUUGUGCUAAGUUAUAGCUUUUCAUAGACAACUUGUUGACUAUGUUUAGUCUUGUAGCUUACUCGCUGACGCUAUUUUACCUACGCUUAGGAUGUUGAUAGUCACAGCGUGUAC